CAGCCGCCGCGGUAAUACGUAGGGUGCGAGCGUUAAUCGGAAUUACUGGGCGUAAAGCGUGCGCAGGCGGUUAUAUAAGACAGAUGUGAAAUCCCCGGGCUCAACCUGGGAACUGCAUUUGUGACUGUAUAGCUAGAGUACGGCAGAGGGGGAUGGAAUUCCGCGUGUAGCAGUGAAAUGCGUAGAUAUGCGGAGGAACACCGAUGGCGAAGGCAAUCCCCUGGGCCUGUACUGACGCUUAUGCACGAAAGCGUGGGGAGCAAACAGGAUUAGAUACCCCCGUAGUCCCUGUCUCUUAUAC
Molecule: ribosomal RNA, 301 nt
Filed under: uncultured bacterium
Lineage: Bacteria
Description: partial 16S ribosomal RNA
Rfam family: Bacterial small subunit ribosomal RNA
Source: RNAcentral